RNAcentral lists this ribosomal RNA (446 nucleotides) under uncultured bacterium. RNAcentral describes it as "partial 16S ribosomal RNA". It matches the Rfam family "Bacterial small subunit ribosomal RNA", at positions 338 to 795 of the family's 1533-position model. The record is from RNAcentral.
CCUACGGGAGGCAGCAGUAGGGAAUUUUCGGCAAUGGGGGGAACCCUGACCGAGCAACGCCGCGUGAACGAAGAAGUUAUUCGUAAUGUAAAGUUCUUUUAACAGGGAAGACAGAGAAAUUAGACGGUACAUGAAGAAUAAGUUCCGGCUAACUACGUGCCAGCAGCCGCGGUAAUACGUAGGGGUAGAGCGUUAUCGGGAAUUAUUGGGCGUAAAGGGUGGGUAGAUGGCAUAGUAAGUCUUUUGUAAAUAUGCUGGGCUAAACCCAGUAGGGCAAAAGAUACUGAAAAGCUAGAGUAUGACAGAGGCAAGUGGAACGACAUGUGUAGCGGUAAAAUGCGUAAAUAUAUGUAAGAACACCAGUGGCGAAGGCGGCUUGCUGGGUCGAUACUGACAUUGAGGCACGAAAGCGUGGGGAGCAAACAGGAUUAGAUACCCGGGUAGUC